AGUGAACGCUGGCGGUAGGCCUAACACAUGCAAGUCGAACGGCAGCACAGUAAGAGCUUGCCCUUACGGGUGGCGAGUGGCGGACGGGUGAGGAAUACAUCGGAAUCUACUUUUUCGUGGGGGAUAACGUAGGGAAACUUACGCUAAUACCGCAUACGACCUACGGGUGAAAGCAGGGGAUCUUCGGACCUUGCGCGAUUGAAUGAGCCGAUGUCGGAUUAGCUAGUUGGCGGGGUAAAGGCCCACCAAGGCGACGAUCCGUAGCUGGUCUGAGAGGAUGAUCGGCCACACUGGAACUGAGACACGGUCCAGACUCCUACGGGAGGCAGCAGUGGGGAAUAUUGGACAAUGGGCGCAAGCCUGAUCCAGCCAUACCGCGUGGGUGAAGAAGGCCUUCGGGUUGUAAAGCCCUUUUGUUGGGAAAGAAAAGCAGCAGGUUAAUACCCCGCUGUUCUGACGGUACCCAAAGAAUAAGCACCGGCUAACUUCGUG
This 492-nucleotide ribosomal RNA is filed under the name uncultured bacterium. Its description in RNAcentral is "partial 16S ribosomal RNA". It matches the Rfam family "Bacterial small subunit ribosomal RNA", at positions 29 to 507 of the family's 1533-position model. The record is from RNAcentral.